Molecule: unclassified non-coding RNA, 219 nt
Filed under: soil metagenome
Description: partial contains 5.8S ribosomal RNA, internal transcribed spacer 2, and large subunit ribosomal RNA
Source: RNAcentral
AACGAGGCCGACCUGCGGCUGAGUUACCUGCUGAGGGAUCAUUACAAGUGACCCCGGUCUAACCACCGGGAUGUUCAUAACCCUUUGUUGUCCGACUCUGUUGCCUCCGGGGCGACCCUGCCUUCGGGCGGGGGCUCCGGGUGGACACUUCAAACUCUUGCGUAACUUUGCAGUCUGAGUAAACUUAAUUAAUAAAUUAAAACUUUCAGCAAUGGAUCU